GUUAAAACAAAUCAAAACCAAAAAGAUACCCAAACUCAGCAGUGUCGGUAAUGUUUGGGAGCGUGUUAGAAAUGGAGACACUUGGCUCUCACCCCAGAUGCACGGAGUCAGAUCCUCCAUUAACGAAAUCCACAGCCGUCUCUGUCGGCAUCUCCCUGGAUAUACGCGGAAACAUGUACAUGAGUAGAAAUGAAUGGAAAGCAAAGCUCCAGUGACCUGCUUCCCCCGAGCUGGUGUGUAACAUUGACAUGACCAGCAGAUAUAACCGUGCAAAAGCAGAGGACCGCUGCUCUGAUAGAGUUGCUGAAAUCCCCUCCAUACUUUUGGGAUCUGUAAAGGAAAGGAUAAGCACAGCCUUUGAGAUGAUAUUUGUUAUUCCUCCUUCCUGAACAAAUGGAGAGAGCUUCCUGGUGGCUCAGUAGAAAAGAAUCUGCCUGCAAUGCAGAAGCAGCCGCAGGAGACAGGGGUUCGAUCCCUGGGUGGGAAAGAUCCCCUGGAGGAGGAAAUGGCAGCCUACUCCAGUGUUCUUGCCUGGAGAGUCCCAUGGAUGGAGGAGUCUGGCGGGCCACAGUCCGUGGGUUCACAGAGAGGCAGACACGACUGAAGCGACUCAGCGCGCAUGGACGCACAAGUGGGGAUCUCUGGGCUUUCUAGAAACUUUCCACCAACAAGGGUCUGGAAGCCUGCACACAGUCCUCAUGAACCAGGAAGGGGGAGCAGGCCCCAGAGGGUCAGGCUGAACUGCGUCUGCGUGUUCAAAAGUCAAGUCUAAUUCUCUGUAACUGUCUGGACCUUUUCAUCGGCAAAGGCCAGGUUCCAGGGGUGGUCAGUAAAUCACUUGCAGAUGGGCCCUGGCCGUGGCUGGGUGAACCCCACCCUGCUUGUUUUACCACCGGGGCGCCCCUGAGACAGCAGGAGCAGAGGAUUCCCGCCACAUUCUGCGUGGAUAGGAGCCCAGAGCACCUGUGACUGAGGGGAAAGCCUGAGGCUUACGAGGUGCCAGGCUGGGCUCGGUUUCAUUCCUCUCCCACAUCUCCGCUAUCUGUGAAAUAGAUAAGGCUGUUCUUCCAGCUCAGGCUUGAGGAAACUGAAGCGAUGUUG
Bos taurus (domestic cattle) is the source of this 1101-nucleotide long non-coding RNA. Lineage: Eukaryota; Metazoa; Chordata; Mammalia; Artiodactyla; Bovidae. The record is from Ensembl.